This 251-nucleotide ribosomal RNA is filed under the name uncultured prokaryote. Its description in RNAcentral is "partial 16S ribosomal RNA". It matches the Rfam family "Bacterial small subunit ribosomal RNA", at positions 525 to 775 of the family's 1533-position model. The record is from RNAcentral.
ACGUAGGGUGCGAGCGUUAAUCGGAAUUACUGGGCGUAAAGCGUGCGCAGGCGGUUUCGUAAGACAGAUGUGAAAUCCCCGGGCUUAACCUGGGAACUGCGUUUGUGACUGCGAGACUUGAGUGCGGCAGAGGGUGGUAGAAUUUCAGGUGUAGCGGUGAAAUGCGUAGAGAUGUGGAGGAAUACCGAUGGCGAAGGCAGCCACCUGGGUCAACACUGACGCUCAUGCACGAAAGCGUGGGGAGCAAACAG